UAGGGAAUCUUCCGCAAUGGGCGAAAGCCUGACGGAGCAACGCCGCGUGAGUGUUGAAGGUCUUCGGAUCGUAAAACUCUGUUAUUAGGGAAGAACAAAUGUGUAAGUAACUAUGCACGUCUUGACGGUACCUAAUCAGAAAGCCACGGCUAACUACGUGCCAGCAGCCGCGGUAAUACGUAGGUGGCAAGCGUUAUCCGGAAUUAUUGGGCGUAAAGCGCGCGUAGGCGGUUUUUUAAGUCUGAUGUGAAAGCCCACGGCUCAACCGUGGAGGGUCAUUGGAAACUGGAAAACUUGAGUGCAGAAGAGGAAAGUGGAAUUCCAUGUGUAGCGGUGAAAUGCGCAGAGAUAUGGAGGAACACCAGUGGCGAAGGCGACUUUCUGGUCUGUAACUGACGCUGAUGUGCGAAAGCGUGGGGAUCAAACA
RNAcentral lists this ribosomal RNA (427 nucleotides) under uncultured Staphylococcus sp. Its description in RNAcentral is "bacterial SSU rRNA". It matches the Rfam family "Bacterial small subunit ribosomal RNA", at positions 355 to 774 of the family's 1533-position model. The record is from RNAcentral. Lineage: Bacteria; Bacillati; Bacillota; Bacilli; Caryophanales; Staphylococcaceae.